UCCCUGGUGGCUCAGUUGGUAAAGAAUCUGCCUGCAAUGUAGGAGACCUGGGUUCAAUCCCUGGGUUGGGAA
Molecule: transfer RNA, 72 nt
Filed under: Bos taurus (domestic cattle)
Lineage: Eukaryota; Metazoa; Chordata; Mammalia; Artiodactyla; Bovidae
Also listed under: 6 other names
Rfam family: tRNA
About the family: Transfer RNA (tRNA) molecules are approximately 80 nucleotides in length. Their secondary structure includes four short double-helical elements and three loops (D, anti-codon, and T loops). Further hydrogen bonds mediate the characteristic L-shaped molecular structure. tRNAs have two regions of fundamental functional importance: the anti-codon, which is responsible for specific mRNA codon recognition, and the 3' end, to which the tRNAs corresponding amino acid is attached (by aminoacyl-tRNA synthetases). tRNAs cope with the degeneracy of the genetic code in two manners: having more than one tRNA (with a specific anti-codon) for a particular amino acid; and 'wobble' base-pairing, i.e. permitting non-standard base-pairing at the 3rd anti-codon position.
Source: Rfam by way of RNAcentral